GAUGAACGCUAGCUACAGGCUUAACACAUGCAAGUCGAGGGGUAACGAGAGGAAAGCUUGCUUUCCUUGUCGACGACCGGCGCACGGGUGAGUAACGCGUAUCCAACCUGCCCCCAACUAGGGAAUAACCUUGCGAAAGUAAGACUAAUACCCUAUAAUUUCCUCAGAUGACAUCUGACGAGGAAUAAAGAUUUAUCGGUUGUGGAUGGGGAUGCGUCUGAUUAGCUUGUUGGCGGGGUAACGGCCCACCAAGGCAACGAUCAGUAGGGGUUCUGCGAGGAAGGUCCCCAACCUUGGAACUGAGACACGGUCCAAACUCCUACGGGAGGCAGCAGUGAGGAAUAUUGGUCAAUGGGCGGAAGCCUGAACCAGCCAAGUAGCGUGCAAGAUGACGGCCCUAUGGGUUGUAAACUGCUUUUAUACAGGAAUAAAGUUAGCCACGUGUGGUUAUUUGUAGGUACUGUAUGAAUAAGGACCGGCUAAUUCCGUGCCAGCCGCCGCAGUAA
RNAcentral lists this ribosomal RNA (506 nucleotides) under uncultured bacterium. RNAcentral describes it as "partial 16S ribosomal RNA". It matches the Rfam family "Bacterial small subunit ribosomal RNA", at positions 28 to 523 of the family's 1533-position model. The record is from RNAcentral.